GACGAACGCUGGCGGCGUGCUUAACACAUGCAAGUCGAACGGAAAGGCCCUGCUUGCAGGGUACUCGAGUGGCGAACGGGUGAGUAACACGUGGGUGAUCUGCCCUGCACUUCGGGAUAAGCCUGGGAAACUGGGUCUAAUACCGGAUAGGAGCCAUUUUUAGUGUGAUGGUUGGAAAGUUUUUUCGGUGUAGGAUGAGCUCGCGGCCUAUCAGCUUGUUGGUGGGGUAAUGGCCUACCAAGGCGGCGACGGGUAGCCGGCCUGGGAGGGUGGACGGCCACAUUGGGGCUGAGAUACGGGCCAGACUCCUACGGGAGGCAGCAGUGGGGAAUAUUGCACAAUGGGCGCAAGCCUGAUGCAGCGACGCCGCGUGGGGGAUGACGGCCUUCGGGUUGUAAACUCCUUUCGCUAGGGACGAAGCUUUUUGUGACGGUACCUAGAGAAGAAGCACCGGCUAACUACGUG
RNAcentral lists this ribosomal RNA (465 nucleotides) under uncultured bacterium. Its description in RNAcentral is "partial 16S ribosomal RNA". It matches the Rfam family "Bacterial small subunit ribosomal RNA", at positions 28 to 507 of the family's 1533-position model. The record is from RNAcentral.